Coregonus clupeaformis (lake whitefish) is the source of this 779-nucleotide non-coding RNA. Lineage: Eukaryota; Metazoa; Chordata; Actinopteri; Salmoniformes; Salmonidae. The record is from the annotation of a RefSeq genome assembly.
AUGGGCACAUUCGAGCGGAUCGCUUUUGUCAUGUCCGUGACCAUCAUUGGUCACGCCUUCCAAACUAAAUGUAGCUUUAUAAAGAGCGAAAGCAGUUUCUCUAUAGUGUCAGAGGUUUUUGUACGGCCGCUAAAUGAGAUUGUAUCACUGUGGUACACUUUUGGUGGAGGCACUAGACUGGAUGUUGGAAGUGACGUUAGUCCCACCUUGACAGUCCUGCCCCCCUCCAGCGUUGAGCUGCAGCAGGGCAAGGCCACUCUCAUGUGCCUGGCCAACAAGGGCUUCCCCUCAGACUGGAAGCUGACCUGGAAGGUGGACGGUAGCAGCAGCAACACCUGGGAGGUGACUGGGAGCCCCGGGGUCCUGGAGAAGGAAGGCCACUACAGCUGGAGCAGCACCCUGACCCUUCCUGUCGACCAGUGGAGGAAGGUGGGCUCUGUGACCUGUGAGGCCACCCAGGGCUCCCAGUCUCCACUCUCUGAGACACUGAGGAGAGACCAGUGUUCUGAUUAAUGAGUCCCCCCCCUCUCUGACUCCACUGUUUUUACUCUGCACCUCUCCUUCUUACUGUUCCAGCAAUACUAGCACACUUGUGCUGCACUGGACCCUGUGUGGGAAUCCUUCCUCCAGCUGGAGCUUUUAGCAUAGUGGAACAAACAGAAUAUAUGUCUGAUUCUGAUGUCAAAUAGAUCUGCUUGGCUUUCAUAUCACUUGUUCUGCACCUAAUUGCUGUAAUGCUGUUGGUUCUGACAUGUUGAGAUAAUAAAGACGGUCAAUCU